RNAcentral lists this ribosomal RNA (315 nucleotides) under uncultured fungus. Its description in RNAcentral is "eukaryotic LSU rRNA". The stretch from base 1 to 52 matches the Rfam family "5.8S ribosomal RNA", at positions 103 to 154 of the family's 154-position model. Lineage: Eukaryota; Fungi. The record is from RNAcentral.
AACGCAACUUGCGCUCCUUGGUAUUCCGAGGAGCAUGCCUGUUUGAGUGUCAUGAACAUCUCAACCCUUCCAGGUUUUCACAAACAUUGGUAUGGGUUGGACUUGGGCAUUGCUGGCGUACAGCUGGCUGGCCUGAAAUAUAUUAGCUGGUUCCAUUCAGAUCUGGUUCCACUUGGCGUGAUAAUUAUCUUCGCUGAGGACAUCUCUUUCGAGAGGUGGCCAGGACUGUCUGUGCUUAGAACUGCUUCUAAUCAGUCCUAUGGACAAUUUUUGACAUUUGGCCUCAAAUCAGGUAGGACUACCCGCUGAACUUAA